GCAUACCGACAGAGUGGCAGAGCAGCCUCCAGUGCUGCCUGCCGUCUGCUAAUUGCCGCCUGGCCGCAAAUGCGAUCUCUGCAAAUAUUGGUGCAUAUAUUGGCAUUAGUUGUGCUGCUACUCCACGCUUCCACUCCACCUCUCUCCUCCUCUUUAUAUGGGCCAAAAACAAACUAGUUGGCCAUAGAAAAUUAUUUGUUUGUGGCAAAUCACGUUUCAGUUGGCUAAAAGUUUAGCCAAACCGACAACAGUCGUUCUACG
RNAcentral lists this long non-coding RNA (261 nucleotides) under Drosophila guanche. Lineage: Eukaryota; Metazoa; Arthropoda; Insecta; Diptera; Drosophilidae. The record is from RNAcentral.